Molecule: ribosomal RNA, 882 nt
Filed under: bacterium enrichment culture
Lineage: Bacteria
Description: bacterial SSU rRNA
Rfam family: Bacterial small subunit ribosomal RNA
Source: RNAcentral
GCAGGAGAGGAAAGCGGAAUUCCUAGUGUAGCGGUGAAAUGCGUAGAGAUUAGGAAGAACACCAGUGGCGAAGGCGGCUUUCUGGACUGUAACUGACGCUGAGGCACGAAAGCGUGGGUAGCAAACAGGAUUAGAUACCCUGGUAGUCCACGCCGUAAACGAUGGAUACUAGGUGUAGGGGGUAUCAACUCCCUCUGUGCCGCAGUUAACACAAUAAGUAUCCCGCCUGGGGAGUACGGUCGCAAGAUUAAAACUCAAAGGAAUUGACGGGGGCCCGCACAAGCAGCGGAGCAUGUGGUUUAAUUCGAAGCAACGCGAAGAAUCUUACCUGGACUUGACAUCCCUUGCAUAGCCUAGAGAUAGGUGAAGCCCUUCGGGGCAAGGAGACAGGUGGUGCAUGGUUGUCGUCAGCUCGUGUCGUGAGAUGUUAGGUUAAGUCCUGCAACGAGCGCAACCCUUGUUAUUAGUUGCUACCAUUAAGUUGAGCACUCUAAUGAGACUGCCUGGGUAACCAGGAGGAAGGUGGGGAUGACGUCAAAUCAUCAUGCCCCUUAUGUCCAGGGCUACACACGUGCUACAAUGGUAGGUACAAUGAGAGGCAAGACCGUGAGGUGGAGCAAAACUUAUAAAGCCUAUCUCAGUUCGGAUUGUAGGCUGCAACUCGCCUACAUGAAGCUGGAGUUGCUAGUAAUCGCGAAUCAGAAUGUCGCGGUGAAUACGUUCCCGGGCCUUGUACACACCGCCCGUCACACCAUGAGAGCUGGUAACACCCGAAGUCCGUGAGGCAACCGUAAGGAGCCAGCGGCCGAAGGUGGGAUUAGUGAUUGGGGUGAAGUCGUAACAAGGUAGCCGUAGGAGAACCUGCGGCUGGAUCACCUCCUU